GUCCACGCCGUAAACGAUGGGUGCUAGGUGUGGGAGGUGUCGACUCCUUCCGUGCCGCAGCUAACGCAUUAAGCACCCCGCCUGGGGAGUACGGCCGCAAGGCUAAAACUCAAAGGAAUUGACGGGGCCCCCGCACAAGCAGCGGAGCAUGUGGUUUAAUUCGAUGCAACGCGAAGAACCUUACCAGGGCUUGACAUGGUCGAGAAAACCGUAGAAAUACGGUCCUCCUUCGGGACUCGAUCACAGGUGGUGCAUGGCUGUCGU
Molecule: ribosomal RNA, 264 nt
Filed under: uncultured bacterium
Lineage: Bacteria
Description: partial 16S ribosomal RNA
Rfam family: Bacterial small subunit ribosomal RNA
Source: RNAcentral